UUUCCAAACAUUUUACCUUACUA
RNAcentral lists this microRNA (23 nucleotides) under Heligmosomoides polygyrus. Its description in RNAcentral is "hpo-miR-10056-3p". Lineage: Eukaryota; Metazoa; Nematoda; Chromadorea; Rhabditida; Heligmosomidae. The record is from miRBase by way of RNAcentral.